AGUAGUUUGACUCCGUGGCUACGAGGACGACGCUGGCGGCGUGCUUAACACAUGCAAGUCGAACGAUGAACCAGGGCUUGCCCUGGGGAUUAGUGGCGAACGGGUGAGUAACACGUGGGCAACCUGCCCCAGACACCGGGAUAACCUCUCGAAAGAGUGGCUAAUACCGGAUAUGACCACUUCGGGCAUCCGACGGUGGUGGAAAGGAUUCUGGUCUGGGAUGGGCCCGCGGCCUAUCAGCUAGUUGGUGGGGUAAUGGCCUACCAAGGCGACGACGGGUAGCCGGCCUGAGAGGGCGACCGGCCACACUGGGACUGAGACACGGCCCAGACUCCUACGGGAGGCAGCGGUGGGGAAUAUUGCGCAAUGGGCGAAAGCCUGACGCAGCGGCGCCGCGUGAGGGACGAAGGUCUUCGGAUUGUAAACCUCUUUCAGCAGGGACGAAGCGAAAGUGACUGUACCUGCAGAAGAAGCACCGGCUAACUACGUG
Molecule: ribosomal RNA, 490 nt
Filed under: uncultured bacterium
Lineage: Bacteria
Description: bacterial SSU rRNA
Rfam family: Bacterial small subunit ribosomal RNA
Source: RNAcentral